GGUGUAAGUGAUAUGUCUGUUAGUGACCAAAGCCUGACUUGCUGAUUAGUCAUAACUGACUUCACC
Marmota marmota marmota (Alpine marmot) is the source of this 66-nucleotide small nucleolar RNA. Lineage: Eukaryota; Metazoa; Chordata; Mammalia; Rodentia; Sciuridae. The record is from Ensembl.